RNAcentral lists this long non-coding RNA (1952 nucleotides) under Theobroma cacao (cacao). Its description in RNAcentral is "long non-coding RNA (TCAC_LNC001324)". The record is from RNAcentral. Lineage: Eukaryota; Viridiplantae; Streptophyta; Magnoliopsida; Malvales; Malvaceae.
UUCCUCUUCUUCUUUUUCCUCUCCCACGUUCUCUCACCCCCCCCCCCCCAGUGAAAGCUUGCCUUGAAUUUCCAUAUAUUUUCUUAAGUUAACCUCGAUUUUUCAUGUUUUUGUGUACCCUUUCCCAAAGUUCUUUGUGCUCUUCUACUUUCUCACCAUAAAAACCCUCAAAAACCUUUCCUUAUUACACUCUCUCACUAGCUGGACAUUCUAGAGAGAGAAAGUGAGAUUUUCAUGAUAGUUUGAAAGCUUUUGGGAAAGAAAUUCAAUUACAAAACUACCAAGGUGAGUAGUGAAAUUGAGUUGAUUUUUUUUAAGUUGUUGAGAAUGGCUAGUGGCUAGAUCAGUGAGUGUUUUGUAGUUGAGGUGGGUUAUUCAUUGUAGUGUGACUAGAAUAGUGAAAAUAUAUAGUCACUUGAUGGUAUAUGGAAACUAGUUAAAAACAACUAGCAGAACAUGAUUUAGUGGAUAGCUUUUAGAAAUAUAAUUAUACAAAUCGGGUUAAUUGUGAUGUUGUUGUGAUGAUAGGUCCCAACGAGGCUCCACAGUUCCAUUUGGACCAUUAGUGGAGGUUGGAGUUGAGUAAAGAUUCAACAAAUACCAAUGAGUGAAGUUGCACGAAAUGUUUUGGGAUUAAGGCACAUGUGGUUGAUUGAGACAUUUUAAUUGUUUUUCUAUAAAAUGCAUGGGAACAAGCCUUUAGUGAAAUGUUUUUGGUGAUGUGGAACAUGAUUGUGAUAAAUCUCUGUACUUUUAUAUGAUGCUGAUAUGUAUAUAAAAAUAUAUGAUAUGUAUUGCUAAGUAAUUUUGUGUAAUUGAUGUAACCGUGCAUGUGCGGAGUGGGCAGUGCAUAUGCCGAUUACAUGAUGAUGUAGUGACAAGUACAAUCGUGCAUAUGCAGAGUGGACAGUGCAUAUGCCUGUCAAAUGAUGAUGUUGUGACACUUACAACUAUGCAUGUGCAGAGUGGGGAGUGCACAUGCCGGUAAUGAUGUGCGUGUGGGGAGUGCAUGUUGGCUGAGGGAGGUGGUGGUAUUCGUGUUUAUAUAUAUAUACAUACAUGCGUAGUAGAAAGUUUAUGAAUAUAGUACGUGAUUGUAAUGUAUGUGGAAUCUUGCAUGUUGAACAGUGAAAGUUGUUAAGUAUUUUCAAAUUGAUGUUUAUUGCAGCAAGGAAUUUGGCUACAGGGAAAAUGGAUUCUCGAUGCAGCCAGAAACUCUCGGGUGGUGGUGCAGUGCUGUCACUUUGACAGUGAUUUUGACCACCUUUCGGUCACAUCUAGGCAAAGUGGUAAACAAUAAACUCGUAGCCCUGCCUCUUAGCUUUCUAAUGACCCAACAAGCAUGUCAAUUAGACUUCUAUAGUGGGAGAUAUGCUUGAAAAACCGAAACAUAUGCAAAUGGAGAAUGCCUUUUGCUGCAGCGAGAAAUGUGCCGUCACAUUGCUUCCUUGCUCGGUUUUUGAUAAAAUUUUUCUUCACUCUUUUAUCUUCAUGAUUGAGCAUGGGUCCUUGCAACACUAAGAGUUUAUUUACCAAUGUUCAAAACAAGGGGUUUAGGGAAGAAAUUAAACUAAAUUACAUUGUUUUCAAAACAAGUGCAUCAUGAUUUUUAAAUUUUCCUUAUCAAUUGCUUGUUUCCUUCCUAUGUUCACUCACUGAGUUCAUACUCACAUUUUUCAACUUCAUGUUUUCAAAUCAGGAGGCAGUUGAAACCUAGGUUAAGGUAUCCUCAUGGACUCGUCUAUUUGAUAGGUAUCUCGACAUUCAAUAGCUGUACCUUCGCCAAGGUCGCUUCGCUGGAAGUCGAGUAUCUUUAUGCUAUAUAUAUAUAGAUAAACAAAAUGUAAAAUUUUAAGAUACUUGUCUUAGACAAUAUAUAUGUAUAUAUACUUUGAAUGGUAAUGCCAGUAUGAGUUGGCAAUGGUUAGCACCAUUUUGGGGUAAUAUAUAUA